This 640-nucleotide long non-coding RNA is filed under the name Panax ginseng (ginseng). Its description in RNAcentral is "long non-coding RNA (PGIN_LNC002488)". The record is from RNAcentral. Lineage: Eukaryota; Viridiplantae; Streptophyta; Magnoliopsida; Apiales; Araliaceae.
UUUAUUCAUCUUCCCCAAAUUUUAGAAAUUUGGGGAAAUUUCUAAAUCAACCUCGGCAUCCACCAAAUCUGAAUCAUCUGAAUCAAAUUGUUGCUCGUCAUAAAGGGGUUCCUGAUCAUAAUCAUGAUUAGCACAACCCACUCUUCCCCAAUUCUCACGAUUGUCCCUUGUAGCCCUAGGUUUGGUGCAGUGGUCAGAACGGUGUCCAACUUCACCACAACGAUUACAUUUACCAUUAAAAGGCUUCACAUAAGGGCUCUUUGAAUGGUCAUUAACCUACUUUGCUCCAAUGUUCUCAUUUUGAUUGCUGGAAUUACCUAUAUAAUAAGAAGACUGCACACCUCCACUGUUAUUGGCGAGGCCUCUAUUUCCAACAAUACCACUUGUACCCCGAGUCUGUCCACUAAAAGGUCGAUUAUUGGGUAACUGCCUAUUGUUGUGAGAUUUUUUUUGCUUUUCCAUUCUCUCUAUGCCUUCAAAGCUAUAUGGCGUGCAUCUUCUACUGUAUACAAGAUUUGGGUUCCCAACGCUAUCUGAAUCUGCCACUCAAGCUCAUUCAUGUAUCUCACCACUUGUUGAUCAUCUGUUUCUUAAAAAUUACACCUGGCUUGUAAGAAAAUAAACUCCUCGGUAUCGGUUG